GUUAUUGUGGUAUACACCUGUAGUCCCAGCUACCAGGGAGGCAGAGGCCAGUGGAUCUCUUGAGCUCAGGAGUUCUGAGCUGCAGUGGAUUAUGCAGAUCAGGAGUCCACACUAAAUGGGGUGUCAAUAUGGUGAGACCCCAGGAGCGGGGUGGGGUACCAGGUUGCCUACAGAGUGUGGAAUUCACCCACAUCAGAAACAGAGCAGGUAAAAUCUCUUAUGCUGAUCAGUGGUGGCAUCAGGCCUGUGAAUAUCUUGGGUACUUCCAGUCUAAGCAAGAUGAGGAGACCUAGUCCUCU
Molecule: signal recognition particle RNA, 299 nt
Filed under: Phascolarctos cinereus (koala)
Lineage: Eukaryota; Metazoa; Chordata; Mammalia; Diprotodontia; Phascolarctidae
Description: Metazoan signal recognition particle RNA (ENSPCIG00000007787.2)
Rfam family: Metazoan signal recognition particle RNA
About the family: The signal recognition particle (SRP) is a universally conserved ribonucleoprotein.
Source: RNAcentral